Molecule: long non-coding RNA, 226 nt
Filed under: Gossypium barbadense (sea-island cotton)
Lineage: Eukaryota; Viridiplantae; Streptophyta; Magnoliopsida; Malvales; Malvaceae
Description: long non-coding RNA (GBAR_LNC000553)
Source: RNAcentral
GGGGUUCACAACAUUCGCAACUAAGGGGGUGUUUGCGGUACAGGAGAGUUCGUACAUGCAAGGUAGUUCGCAAUACAGGGGAGGGUCACUCAUGCAAUAGAGUUCGCAUAAUAAGGGGUGUUCUCAUACAUACUACCCAAUUUUAAUUAAUCAUACAUAAUGGUCUAAAUUAGAUCCCACACUUGAUUUGAAGACACAAACCUUAAUUUAGGAGAGGAGAUUGACG